UACGUAGGGUCCAAGCGUUAUCCGGAAUCACUGGGCGUAAAGCGUGCGUAGGUGGCGUGUUAAGUGUGAUGUUAAAUCGCGGGGCUCAACCCUGUCGAUGCAUCGCAUACUGGCAUGCUAGAGGGAAGCAGAGGCAAGUGGAAUUUGUAGUGUAGCAGUGAAAUGCGUAGAUAUUACAAGGAACACCAAUGGCGAAGGCAGCUUGCUGGGCUUCUUCUGACACUGAGGUACGAAAGCGUGGGGAGCGAACAGG
This 253-nucleotide ribosomal RNA is filed under the name uncultured bacterium. RNAcentral's name for it is "partial 16S ribosomal RNA". It matches the Rfam family "Bacterial small subunit ribosomal RNA", at positions 524 to 776 of the family's 1533-position model. The record is from RNAcentral.